RNAcentral lists this ribosomal RNA (240 nucleotides) under uncultured bacterium. RNAcentral's name for it is "partial 16S ribosomal RNA". It matches the Rfam family "Bacterial small subunit ribosomal RNA", at positions 122 to 355 of the family's 1533-position model. The record is from RNAcentral.
UAACCUGCCCAAGAGACUGGGAUAACACCUGGAAACAGAUGCUAAUACCGGAUAACAACACUAGACGCAUGUCUAGAGUUUAAAAGAUGGUUCUGCUAUCACUCUUGGAUGGACCUGCGGUGCAUUAGCUAGUUGGUAAGGCAACGGCUUACCAAGGCAAUGAUGCAUAGCCGAGUUGAGAGACUGAUCGGCCACAUUGGGACUGANACACGGCCCAAACUCCUACGGGAGGCAGCAGCC